UACAGAGGUCUCAAGCGUUGUUCGGAUUCAUUGGGCGUAAAGGGUGCGUAGGCGGCGCGGUAAGUCGGGUGUGAAAUCCCACGGCUCAACCGUGGAACGGCCUCGGAUACGGGCGGCCUCGAGGGGGGUAGGGGCAUCUGGAACUGUGAGUGGAGCGGUGAAAUGCGUUGAUAUUCACAGGAACUCCGGUGGCGAAGGCGAGGUGCUGGACCCCAUCUGACGCUGAGGCGCGAAAGCCAGGGGAGCGAACGGG
Molecule: ribosomal RNA, 253 nt
Filed under: uncultured bacterium
Lineage: Bacteria
Description: partial 16S ribosomal RNA
Rfam family: Bacterial small subunit ribosomal RNA
Source: RNAcentral